AGCAGCCGCGGUAAUUCCAGCUCCAAUAGCGUAUAUUAAAGUUGUUGCAGUUAAAAAGCUCGUAGUUGAAUUUCGGGAUCAGUAUGUUGGUCGUGCUUCGGUACGUACUGUCAUUACUGGUUUCUACCUUCUGAAGAACCUUGAUGUCAUUAAUUUGGUGUCUUGGGGAAUCAGGACUGUUACUUUGAAAAAAUUAGAGUGUUUAAAGCAAGCAUACGCUUGAAUACAUUAGCAUGGAAUAAUGAAAUAGGACGUUUGAUUCUAUUUUGUUGGUUUCUAGGAUCGACGUAAUGAUUAAUAGGGAUAGUUGGGGGCAUUAGUAUUCAAUUGUCAGAGGUGAAAUUCUUGGAUUUAUUGAAGACUAACUACUGCGAAAGCAUUUGCCAAGGAUGUUUUCAUUAAUCAAGAACGAAAGUUAGGGGAUCGAAGACGAUCAGAUACCGUCGUAGUCUUAACCAUAAACUAUGCCGACUAGGGAUCGGGUAGUAGUAGUUAGUUUUUAAUUUUUAAGUACGUACCU
Molecule: ribosomal RNA, 520 nt
Filed under: uncultured Glomus
Lineage: Eukaryota; Fungi; Glomeromycota; Glomeromycetes; Glomerales; Glomeraceae
Description: SSU rRNA
Rfam family: Eukaryotic small subunit ribosomal RNA
Source: RNAcentral